Molecule: ribosomal RNA, 997 nt
Filed under: Staphylococcus aureus
Lineage: Bacteria; Bacillati; Bacillota; Bacilli; Caryophanales; Staphylococcaceae
Description: bacterial SSU rRNA
Rfam family: Bacterial small subunit ribosomal RNA (bases 348-997)
Source: RNAcentral
AUAUUCGGAACAUCUUCUUCAGAAGAUGCGGAAUAACGUGACAUAUUGUAUUCAGUUUUGAAUGUUUAUUUAACAUUCAAAUAUUUUUUGGUUAAAGUGAUAUUCCUUUUGAAAAUAAAGCAGUAUGCGAGCGCUUGACUAAAAAGAAAUUGUACAUUGAAAACUAGAUAAGUAAGUAAAAUAUAGAUUUUACCAAGCAAAACCGAGUGAAUAAAGAGUUUUAAAUAAGCUUGAAUUCAUAAGAAAUAAUCGCUAGUGUUCGAAAGAACACUCACAAGAUUAAUAACGCGUUUAAAUCUUUUUAUAAAAGAACGUAACUUCAUGUUAACGUUUGACUUAUAAAAAUGGUGGAAACAUAGAUUAAGUUAUUAAGGGCGCACGGUGGAUGCCUUGGNCCCGCACAAGCGGUGGAGCAUGUGGUUUAAUUCGAAGCAACGCGAAGAACCUUACCAAAUCUUGACAUCCUUUGACAACUCUAGAGAUAGAGCCUUCCCCUUCGGGGGACAAAGUGACAGGUGGUGCAUGGUUGUCGUCAGCUCGUGUCGUGAGAUGUUGGGUUAAGUCCCGCAACGAGCGCAACCCUUAAGCUUAGUUGCCAUCAUUAAGUUGGGCACUCUAAGUUGACUGCCGGUGACAAACCGGAGGAAGGUGGGGAUGACGUCAAAUCAUCAUGCCCCUUAUGAUUUGGGCUACACACGUGCUACAAUGGACAAUACAAAGGGCAGCGAAACCGCGAGGUCAAGCAAAUCCCAUAAAGUUGUUCUCAGUUCGGAUUGUAGUCUGCAACUCGACUACAUGAAGCUGGAAUCGCUAGUAAUCGUAGAUCAGCAUGCUACGGUGAAUACGUUCCCGGGUCUUGUACACACCGCCCGUCACACCACGAGAGUUUGUAACACCCGAAGCCGGUGGAGUAACCUUUUAGGAGCUAGCCGUCGAAGGUGGGACAAAUGAUUGGGGUGAAGUCGUAACAAGGUAGCCGUAUCGGAAGGUGCGGCUG